RNAcentral lists this ribosomal RNA (253 nucleotides) under uncultured bacterium. Its description in RNAcentral is "partial 16S ribosomal RNA". It matches the Rfam family "Bacterial small subunit ribosomal RNA", at positions 524 to 776 of the family's 1533-position model. The record is from RNAcentral.
UACGUAGGGGGCCAGCGUUGUCCGAAGUUACUGGGCGUAAAGAGCGCGUAGGCGGGCCCUUAAGUGGGGGGUGAAAGGUUGGGGCUCAACCCCAACACUGCCUUUCAUACUGGGGGCCUUGAGUGCGGGAGAGGCGAGUGGAAUGGUCGGUGUAGCGGUGAAAUGCGUAGAUAUCGAUCGGAACACCCAUGGCGAAGGCAGCUCGCUGGGACGGUACUGACGCUGAGGCGCGAAAGCGUGGGGAGCGAACAGG